This 530-nucleotide ribosomal RNA is filed under the name Penicillium chrysogenum. RNAcentral's name for it is "eukaryotic LSU rRNA". The stretch from base 190 to 342 matches the Rfam family "5.8S ribosomal RNA". The record is from RNAcentral. Lineage: Eukaryota; Fungi; Ascomycota; Eurotiomycetes; Eurotiales; Aspergillaceae.
GGAAGGAUCAUUACCGAGUGAGGGCCCUCUGGGUCCAACCUCCCACCCGUGUUUAUUUUACCUUGUUGCUUCGGCGGGCCCGCCUUAACUGGCCGCCGGGGGGCUUACGCCCCCGGGCCCGCGCCCGCCGAAGACACCCUCGAACUCUGUCUGAAGAUUGUAGUCUGAGUGAAAAUAUAAAUUAUUUAAAACUUUCAACAACGGAUCUCUUGGUUCCGGCAUCGAUGAAGAACGCAGCGAAAUGCGAUACGUAAUGUGAAUUGCAAAUUCAGUGAAUCAUCGAGUCUUUGAACGCACAUUGCGCCCCCUGGUAUUCCGGGGGGCAUGCCUGUCCGAGCGUCAUUGCUGCCCUCAAGCACGGCUUGUGUGUUGGGCCCCGUCCUCCGAUCCCGGGGGACGGGCCCGAAAGGCAGCGGCGGCACCGCGUCCGGUCCUCGAGCGUAUGGGGCUUUGUCACCCGCUCUGUAGGCCCGGCCGGCGCUUGCCGAUCAACCCAAAUUUUUAUCCAGGUUGACCUCGGAUCAGGUAGG